GAAAGGCCAAUCAAACCGGGAGAUAGCUGGUUCUCCCCGAAAGCUAUUUAGGUAGCGCCUCGUGAACUCAUCUCCGGGGGUAGAGCACUGUUUCGGCAAGGGGGUCAUCCCGACUUACCAACCCGAUGCAAACUGCGAAUACCGGAGAAUGUUAUCACGGGAGACACACGGCGGGUGCUAACGUCCGUCGUGAAGAGGGAAACAACCCAGACCGCCAGCUAAGGUCCCAAAGUCAUGGUUAAGUGGGAAACGAUGUGGGAAGGCCCAGACAGCCAGGAUGUUGGCUUAGAAGCAGCCAUCAUUUAAAGAAAGCGUAAUAGCUCACUGGUCGAGUCGGCCUGCGCGGAAGAUGUAACGGGGCUAAACCAUGCACCGAAGCUGCGGCAGCGACGCUUAUGCGUUGUUGGGUAGGGGAGCGUUCUGUAAGCCUGUGAAGGUGUGCUGUGAGGCAUGCUGGAGGUAUCAGAAGUGCGAAUGCUGACAUAAGUAACGAUAAAGCGGGUGAAAAGCCCGCUCGCCGGAAGACCAAGGGUUCCUGUCCAACGUUAAUCGGGGCAGGGUGAGUCGACCCCUAAGGCGAGGCCGAAAGGCGUAGUCGAUGGGAAACAGGUUAAUAUUCCUGUACUUGGUGUUACUGCGAAGGGGGGACGGAGAAGGCUAUGUUGGCCGGGCGACGGUUGUCCCGGUUUAAGCGUGUAGGCUGGUUUUCCAGGCAAAUCCGGAAAAUCAAGGCUGAGGCGUGAUGACGAGGCACUACGGUGCUGAAGCAACAAAUGCCCUGCUUCCAGGAAAAGCCUCUAAGCAUCAGGUAACAUCAAAUCGUACCCCAAACCGACACAGGUGGUCAGGUAGAGAAUACCAAGGCGCUUGAGAGAACUCGGGUGAAGGAACUAGGCAAAAUGGUGCCGUAACUUCGGGAGAAGGCACGCUGAUAUGUAGGUGAAGUCCCUCGCGGAUGGAGCUGAAAUCAGUCGAAGAUACCAGCUGGCUGCAACUGUUUAUUAAAAACACAGCACUGUGCAAACACGAAAGUGGACGUAUACGGUGUGACGCCUGCCCGGUGCCGGAAGGUUAAUUGAUGGGGUCAGCGCAAGCGAAGCUCUUGAUCGAAGCCCCGGUAAACGGCGGCCGUAACUAUAACGGUCCUAAGGUAGCGAAAUUCCUUGUCGGGUAAGUUCCGACCUGCACGAAUGGCGUAAUGAUGGCCAGGCUGUCUCCACCCGAGACUCAGUGAAAUUGAACUCGCUGUGAAGAUGCAGUGUACCCGCGGCAAGACGGAAAGACCCCGUGAACCUUUACUAUAGCUUGACACUGAACAUUGAGCCUUGAUGUGUAGGAUAGGUGGGAGGCUUAGAAGUGUGGACGCCAGUCUGCAUGGAGCCGACCUUGAAAUACCACCCUUUAAUGUUUGAUGUUCUAACGUUGACCCGUAAUCCGGGUUGCGGACAGUGUCUGGUGGGUAGUUUGACUGGGGCGGUCUCCUCCUAAAGAGUAACGGAGGAGCACGAAGGUUGGCUAAUCCUGGUCGGACAUCAGGAGGUUAGUGCAAUGGCAUAAGCCAGCUUGACUGCGAGCGUGACGGCGCGAGCAGGUGCGAAAGCAGGUCAUAGUGAUCCGGUGGUUCUGAAUGGAAGGGCCAUCGCUCAACGGAUAAAAGGUACUCCGGGGAUAACAGGCUGAUACCGCCCAAGAGUUCAUAUCGACGGCGGUGUUUGGCACCUCGAUGUCGGCUCAUCACAUCCUGGGGCUGAAGUAGGUCCCAAGGGUAUGGCUGUUCGCCAUUUAAAGUGGUACGCGAGCUGGGUUUAGAACGUCGUGAGACAGUUCGGUCCCUAUCUGCCGUGGGCGCUGGAGAACUGAGGGGGGCUGCUCCUAGUACGAGAGGACCGGAGUGGACGCAUCACUGGUGUUCGGGUUGUCAUGCCAAUGGCACUGCCCGGUAGCUAAAUGCGGAAGAGAUAAGUGCUGAAAGCAUCUAAGCACGAAACUUGCCCCGAGAUGAGUUCUCCCUGACUCCUUGAGAGUCCUGAAGGAACGUUGAAGACGACGACGUUGAUAGGCCGGGUGUGUAAGCGCAGCGAUGCGUUGAGCUAACCGGUACUAAUGAACCGUGAGGCUUAACCUU
RNAcentral lists this ribosomal RNA (2125 nucleotides) under Escherichia coli. Its description in RNAcentral is "partial 23S ribosomal RNA". It matches the Rfam family "Bacterial large subunit ribosomal RNA", at positions 823 to 2925 of the family's 2925-position model. Lineage: Bacteria; Pseudomonadati; Pseudomonadota; Gammaproteobacteria; Enterobacterales; Enterobacteriaceae. The record is from RNAcentral.